CAAGUCCUUCCAAACCAAAGUCUAGCCAGCAGGUUAGUAGUGAAGCCCGGGUGCGAUACUGGUAACAGUGUGUGCGGAGCAAGGGUGAAACGAGAGUAUAGGCUGUCUACUGAGCCCCGAAAUAUUGUAUAGUUGUGGACGUUUGGAUAACC
RNAcentral lists this non-coding RNA (152 nucleotides) under Candidatus Brocadiaceae bacterium S225. The record is from RNAcentral. Lineage: Bacteria; Pseudomonadati; Planctomycetota; Candidatus Brocadiia; Candidatus Brocadiales; Candidatus Brocadiaceae.